This 253-nucleotide ribosomal RNA is filed under the name uncultured bacterium. RNAcentral's name for it is "partial 16S ribosomal RNA". It matches the Rfam family "Bacterial small subunit ribosomal RNA", at positions 524 to 776 of the family's 1533-position model. The record is from RNAcentral.
CACGUAGGGCGCGAGCGUUGUCCGGAAUUAUUGGGCGUAAAGAGCUCGUAGGCGGCCUGUUGCGUCCGCUGUGAAAGCCCGGGGCUUAACCCCGGGUCUGCAGUGGAUACGGGCAGGCUAGAGGUAGGUAGGGGAGAAUGGAAUUCCCGGUGUAGCGGUGAAAUGCGCAGAUAUCGGGAGGAACACCGGUGGCGAAGGCGGUUCUCUGGGCCUGUUCUGACGCUGAGGAGCGAAAGCGUGGGGAGCGAACAGG